This 18098-nucleotide long non-coding RNA is filed under the name Triticum aestivum (bread wheat). RNAcentral describes it as "long non-coding RNA (TAES_LNC018892)". Lineage: Eukaryota; Viridiplantae; Streptophyta; Magnoliopsida; Poales; Poaceae. The record is from RNAcentral.
UGUCCCGAUCUUUCGAUGAGAUGAUAACUAUCGAUUUGGUGGAGACGACUUUGACGAUCCGACUACAAACGUGCAACGACGUUGUGCCUUAGCAAUCGCUAAACCAACUCCGAGAGGUUAUUGACCACACCGGAGCACGAUCAACCUGACCACGAAGGUCUAUUCCUGCAAGCAAUCGAAGAACAAGCAAGAAUAUGAUAAAAGCAAUCUGAAUAUCGCGAAUAUGUAUGAAGUAUUGAUAAUGGUGGGGAUCCGAAAAGUGGUCUUGGUCUGGUCGUUGGACACAAACGAAGCACACGAAGUUGCAAUGGCUAACUUUUAACUAAACAAAUCCCAAGGAAAAGCUACUAGAUGGAUCUACUUAUAUAGGAGCAAGGGGUGGCGGCCAAGGAGGUGGGAGGACGUCCCAAGGCAGCCUAAAACUAAAUCUAGGUCGUACAAGGCCAAUGGGCCCAAGUGGAGGUGAUGUAACACCUUUGGACUUGUAGUUUGACUCGGAUUCUGCUGCAGCAUCAGAUUGUUUCGUCCACAACUCAACGCUCCGGACGAAUUUGAAGGUGAUUCCAAUUGGGUUGGAAAGUGCACGACAUCUAGUUUCCAAAAAAAAAGAAUCACCCAAUUCGGAGUCCGUAUGAAAAACUUGUGUGCGUUUUGAGUCAGGUGUGUCUGUGCAGUCCGAAUCUGAAUCCAGAACGUGAGAGACUUGGACUCUAUCUUCUCUUGGGCCAAAAGUGACGUGAGAGAACUUUUUGGACAGCAAAUAAACAUCUCUUUCUUCCUUAUCUUCAUAUGUGGAUUGUACAAAUGUCCCAUACACCUGCAAUUAGACAAAACACAAAAGUGUGUGAAGUAUUUUUGUUCUGGAUAACAUAAAUAGAUUAUUGAAUAGUUUGCACUAGAAAUCACCUGACAAAUAUGCAUAUAUGCAAUAUUUUUGGUCAUAUCCAAGGUAGUCAUGUCCUCAUCAUCCUCCCCUUCUUGAAAAUAAAGCCGUCCUCGGCGUUGCUUAAUCUGAAAUGUGGCUAACAAAAAAGACAAGGUGUACAUGUUGUAUAUGUAUAUGUCAUCCAUUUUUACUUCCCUUGAUUUUUGCAUAUAUGACACAUGAAUAGAUGAGUAACUUGUAUAGUUCAUAAAAUCUAAAGCCAAAAAAUUAGCACAAGAAGUAGAAGGCAUGAAAAUAUUGCAACUCAGUUUGCACAUAUAAGUGAAGCUCUUAUUCAUUUCAAAAGAUUGACAAUGUUCAUCAUUAAACCAUCCCAACAUUGGUGAAUAAACCUUACUUGCAUCAAAUUUACAUGCUACAACAUGCUUAAAUAAGCAAACAUGCAAUAAGUCAUUCAACACAGAAUCAUCACCAAGAUUAGAGGUCAUAUCAAAAUGAUUAAACAUUGGUUCUUUUGCAUCAAUAGUUAAUUCAAUGGGUGCACUCAAAAUUGUUGGUAUUUCAGUUGUUUGAUCACAUGGCAAAGUCAAAUUAUCAACGUAGUCCUCUAAAAUAGGUGGUGUGAUCAAAGUAGUGCGUAGCUCAUCAGAUGGUGUGAUAGAGGCAAAGGUGUCCCGUCUUUCGAUGAGAUGAUGGAUUUCGCUUUGGUGGAAGUCGACUUUGACGAUCCGACUACGAACGUGCGAGGACGUCGCGCCUUAGCAAUCGCUAAACCAACUCCGAGAGGUUAUUGACCACGCCGGAGCACGAUCAACCUGACCACGAGGGUCUGUUUCCUGCGAGCAAACGAAGAACAAGCAAGAAACUGAGAUUGCAAUCUGGAUAUUGCGAAUAUAAGAUGAAAGCUUUAUUGAUCAAGGUGGGGUUCUGUGACGCCUUUGUCUGGUCGUUGAACACAAACGAAGUACGCGAAGUUGCAGCUAUGGCGAACUUUUAAUCUAAACAAAACCCAAAGUCUAAACGAUGCCCUAAGGGCUGUAUAUAUGGAGGAAGAGGGGGGAAAUUUCGUGGCCCUUGGUGGAGGGGUCCGAAAUCAACCCUAUCUCUUGUUUCCCCACACAUACGGACUCUAAAAAUAGCCUAUACUUAUGUAUUUCGAAAUUACAUGGGCCUGGCCCAAUAAUAAGGUGACGCAGCACCUAAAAUAGCCUCGGAACGAAAUUUAUGAAGUGGCAUCUUGUAUAUUUCGUCCAAGGCUUCAUGCACCCAUUAUGGUGGCUUCAAAGUCCUGAAAUCAUCACUUGUAACUCCGUUCUUGUUCUUGCUCCAAUGUUCAUCCUUCUCCAAGCUAGGCCCUUCAUUUGUAAGCAAAACAAAUGUAUCCAAUUUAGGCAGCAUCAUAUUCUCAUGAACAUUAGAAUCAUUACCAAGAAACGAAAGUACCGGGUAGUUUAGUUGGCGUGCACGAGCUCUAGUAAUUGGUCCAGUAUGUAUAGCAGCAGGGGCUGUGGGUGUAACAAUUGUAUUGAUGUCCUCAUCAUCCUCCCCUUCUUGAAAUGAAGUCGUCCUCGACGGAAGUUCAUCUUCCUCACCCAAAUAAGGCUUCAAAUCUGCAAUGUUAAAAGUGGGACUAACCCCAAAAUCUGCAGGCAGCUCAAGUUUAUAUGCAUUAUCAUUUAUUUUCUCUAACACCUUAAAGGGACCAUCAGCACGUGGCAUUAACUUUGAUUUGCGCAAAUCAGGAAAUCUAUCCUUACGCAAAUGUAACCAAACAAGAUCUCCAGGUGCAAACAUAACAUGUUUUCUACCCUUAUCUCCAGCAAGUUUAUAUUUAGCAUUCAUACGCUCAAUGUUUUCCUUAGUUAACUCAUGCAUUUUUAAAAUCAAUUCAGCACGUUGUUUAGCAUCAAAAUUAACCUUCUCCGAAGAUGGAAGAGGCAACAAAUCAAUAGGUGCACGAGGUAGGAAACCAUACACAACUUCAAAAGGGCACAUCUUAGUAGUAGAAUGCAAUGAACGAUUAUAAGCAAAUUCAAUAUGAGGCAAGCAUUCCUCCCACAUUUUCUUAUUAUUCUUCAAAACAGCCCUAAGCAUAGUAGACAACGUUCUAUUGACUACUUCAGUUUGUCCAUCAGUUUGGGGGUGACAAGUAGUACUAAAAAGCAGUUUAGUCCCCAACUUAGCCCAUAAACAUCUCCAAAAAUGGCUAAGAAAUUUAGUAUCACGAUCUGAAACAAUAGUAUUUGGCACACCAUGCAAGCGAAUAAUUUCACGAAAGAACAAAUCAGCAACAUUAACAGCAUCAUCGCUUUUAUGACAUGGUAUAAAGUGUGCGAUUUUCGAGAAUCUAUCCACGACAACAAAUAUGCUAUCCCUCCCCUUCUUUGUUCGAGGUAAACCUAAAACAAAGUCCAUAGAUAUAUCCUCCCAAGGAACACUAGGUACAGGCAAAGGCAUAUAUAAACCAUGAGGAUUGAGUCGUGACUUAGCUUUUUGACAUGUAGUGCAUCGAGCAAUAAAACGCUCAACAUCCCGUCUCAUCUUUGGCCAAAAGAAAUGUGUAGCAAGUACGUCCUCCGUCUUCUUCACGCCAAAAUGUCCCAUUAAUCCUCCUCCAUGCGCUUCCUGCAACAACAAAAGACGAACGGAGCUAGCUGGAAUGCAUAGCUUGUUAGCACGAAACACAAAUCCAUCGUUAACGACAAACUUGUUCCACAUUCUUCCUUCUUUACAAUUCUGCAUUACAUCUUUAAAAUCAGCAUCAUGCACAUAUUGAUCUUUGAUGGUCUCCAAACCAAAUAUUUUGAAGUCAAGUUGUGAAAGCAUAGUAUAGCGACGAGACAAUGCAUCAGCAAUAACAUUUUCUUUUCCCUUCUUGUGUUUAAUGACAUAAGGGAAAGUCUCAAUGAAUUCAACCCAUUUAGCAUGUCUACGAUUCAGUUUAGCUUGACUUUUAAUAUGUUUCAAAGAUUCAUGAUCAGAAUGUAUAACAAAUUCUUUGGGCCAUAAACAAGUCCGAACAAGAGCAUAUAAUUCUUUAUCAUAAGUAGAAUAAUUCAGACUAGGCCCACUCAAUUUUUUAGAAAAGUAUGCAACAGUUUUACCAUCUUGUAAUAACACACCUCCUAAUCCAAUUCCACUAGCAUCACAUUCAAGCUCAAAAGUCUUAUUAAAAUCAGGAAGUUGGAGUAAAGGAGCAUGUGUCAACUUAUCUUUCAAUACCGUGAAGGCUUCUUCCUGUGCGGUACCCCAAAGAAAAGGCACAUCCUUCUUUGUAAGUUCGUUGAGAGGUGCAACAAUGGUGCUGAAAUCUCUCACAAAACGCCUAUAGAAUCCAGCGAGGCCAAGAAAACUCCUCACUUGUGUGACCGUUUUGGGUUGUGGCCAACUCUCAAUAGCAAGGAAACACGAAUCGGAAUCUACUUUCGUUUCUUGGUAAUGAUUCUAAUGUUCAUGAGAAUAUGAUGCUGCCUAAAUUGGAUACAUUUGUUUUGCUUACAAAUGAAGGGCCUAGCUUGGAGAAGGAUGAACAUUGGAGCAAGAACAAGCAUGGAGAUGAUGGCAUGCGCAAGGGGAACAAGAACGGAGUUACAAGUGAUGAUUUCAGGACUUUGAAGCCACCAUAAUGGGUGCAUGAAGCCUUGGACGAAAUAUACAAGAUGCCACUUCAUAAAUUUCGUCCCGAGGCUAUUUUAGGUGCUGCGUCACCUUAUUAUUGGGCCAGGCCCAUGUAAUUUCGAAAUACAUAACUAUAGGCUAUUUUUAGAGUCCGUAUGUGUGGGGAAACAAGAGAUAGGGUUGAUUUCGGACCCCUCCACCAAGGGCCACGAAAUUCCCCCCUCUUCCUCCAUAUAUACAGCCCUUAGGGCAUCGUUUAGACUUUGGGUUUUGUUUAGAUUAAAAGUUCGCCAUAGCUGCAACUUCGCGUACUUCGUUUGUGUUCAACGACCAGACAAAGGCGUCACAGAACCCCACCUUGAUCAAUAAAGCUUUCAUCUUAUAUUCGCAAUAUCCAGAUUGCAAUCUUAGUUUCUUGCUUGUUCUUCGUUUGCUCGCAGGAAACAGACCCUCGUGGUCAGGUUGAUCGUGCUCCGGCGUGGUCAAUAACCUCUCGGAGUUGGUUUAGCGAUUGCUAAGGCGCGACGUCCUCGCACGUUCGUAGUCGGAUCGUCAAAGUCGACUUCCACCAAAGCGAAAUCCACCAUCUCAUCGAAAGACGGGACACCUCCGCCUCUAUCAAUCUUACUUGGGAGUUAGAAACUGAACAACGAUUUACAUGUUUACAAUAUCCUGAGGAGAGACGAGUUGCUGCUGCCGUUUGUGCUUUCACUAGUUUUGCAUGUGUAUGGUGGUCUGAACAUUGUAGAUUAUAUCCUAUUCCAACUACUUGGGCUGCUUUGAAAACUGCUAUGCGUACGCGUUGGGUUCCACCAUAUUAUCAACGUGAAUUGCUUCAAAAAUUGCAGCGUUUAAGACAAGGGAAAAAUUCUGUAGAAGAAUAUUAUCAGGAAUUACAAACUGGCAUGAUUAGAUGUGGUAUUGUUGAGGAGAAUGAAGCUAUGCUUGCACGUUUUCUGGGUGGAUUAAAUAGAGAGAUUCAGACCAUUCUAGACUAUAAGGAGUAUACUAAUAUCACUCGUUUAUUUCAUCUUGCUUGUAAAGCUGAACGUGAAGUGCAGGAUCGACAAGCAUUGGGGCGAACUAACUUUUCUGCAGGCCGACCUUCAUCAUGGACACCACGUGCAUCUUCUACUUCAACUGCACCAGCACCUCCAUCCGGUGCCACCUCCAGCCGUGAUACAAGAAAACAGGCACAACCACCAUUAUCUGCCAAGAGCACACCUGCGGGGCCUGCACAGCGUUCUUCUUCUUCCAUGGCAUCAACAGGGCACACAAGUGAUAUUAUUUGUCGCCGUUGUAAGGGAGGAGGUCAUUAUGCGAGGGAAUGCAAAUCUCCGCGUGUGAUGAUUGCUACUGCGGAUGGUGGAUAUGAGUCCGCUAGUGACUAUGAUGAGGAGACAUUGGCUCUUAUUACACGUGAAGAACAUGGUGGAGAUGAUUCUGAUCAUGAGACGCAAUACAUGGCUCCUGAAGACGCUGACAGGUAUGAAUGUUUAGUUGCUCAACGUGUUUUGAGUGUGCAGGUCACACAAGCUGAGCAAAAUCAGAGGCACAAUUUGUUCCAUACCAAGGGAGUUGUGAAGGAACGUUCUGUGCGCGUCAUAAUAGACGGAGGGAGCUGCAACAACUUGGCUAGCAUGGAGAUGGUGGAGAAGCUUUCUCUCACCACACGACCACAUCCACAUCCUUACUACAUCCAAUGGUUCAACAACAGCGGCAAGGUUAAGGUAACACGUACUGUUCGUGUGCAUUUUAGUAUCUCUACAUAUGCUGAUUAUGUUGAUUGUGAUGUGGUACCUAUGCAAGCAUGUUCCUUAUUACUUGGUAGACCUUGGCAAUUUGAUAAAAAUUCUGUACACCAUGGUAGAAACAAUCACUAUACUCUUGUUCAUAAGGAUAAAAAUAUUACUUUGCUUCCUAUGACUCCUGAUUCCAUUUUGAAAGAUGAUAUUAAUAGAGCUAAUAAAGCAAAACAUGAGACGAAUAAGAGUGAAAAUCAGAUUGUGGCAAAAGAAUUUGAGCAACAAAUGAAGCCUAAUAAUAAACCAUCUAGUGUUGCUUCUGAAAUUAAAUUGAAAAGUGCAUGUUUAUUUGCCACCAAAUCUGAUAUUGAUGAGCUAGAUUUCAGCAAAUCUGUUUGCUAUGCUUUUGUGUGCAAAGAGGCAUUAUUUUCAUUCGAGGACGUGCCUUCCUCUUUGCCUCCUGCUGUCACUAACAUUUUGCAGGAGUUCGCUGACGUCUUUCCACAAGACGUGCCACCGGGAUUACCGCCUAUUCGAGGGAUUGAGCAUCAAAUUGACUUAAUUCCCGGUGCUUCACUGCCAAACCGUGCACCAUACCGUACCAAUCCAGAGGAGACGAAGGAGAUUAUGCGUCAAGUACUACUUGAUAGAGACGAGGGUCCCGAUCUUUCGAUGAGAUGAUAACUAUCGAUUUGAUGGAGACGACUUUCACGAUCCGACUACAAAUGUGCACGACGUUGCACCUUAGCAAUCGCUAAACCGAUCUCCUGAGGUUACUGACGAUGCUGGAAGCACGGUCAGCCUGACCACGAAGGUCUAUUCCUGCAAGCAAUCGAAGAACGAGCAAGAAUAUGAUAAAGCAAUCUGAAUAUUGCAAAUAUAUAUGAAGUAUUGAUAAUGGUGGGGAUCCGGAAGCGGUCUUGGUCUGGUCGUUGGACACAAACGAAGUACACGAAGUUGCAAUGGCUAACUUUUAACUAAACAAAUCCCAAAGUCUAAACGAUGCCCUAAGGGCUGUAUAUAUGGAGGAAGAGGGGGGGAAUUUCGUGGCCCUUGGUGGAGGAGUCCGAAAUCAACCCUAUCUCUUGUUUCCCCACACAUACGGACUCUAAAAAUAGCCUAUACUUAUGUAUUUCGAAAUUACAUGGGCCUGGCCCAAUAAUAAGGUGACGCAGCACCUAAAAUAGCCUCGGGACGAAAUUUAUGAAGUGGCAUCUUGUAUAUUUCGUCCAAGGCUUCAUGCACCCAUUAUGGUGGCUUCAAAGUCCUGAAAUCAUCACUUGUAACUCCGUUCUUGUUCCCCUUGCGCAUGCCAUCAUCUCCAUGCUUGUUCUUGCUCCAAUGUUCAUCCUUCUCCAAGCUAGGCCCUUCAUUUGUAAACAAAACAAAUGUAUCCAAUUUAGGCAGCAUCAUAUUCUCAUGAACAUUAGAAUCAUUACCAAGAAACGAAAGUACCUGGUAAUUUAGUUGGCGUGCACGAGCUCUAGUAAUUGGUCCAGUAUGUAUAGUAGCAGGGGCUGUGGGUGUAACAAUUGUAUUGAUGUCCUCAUCAGUACCACAUCACAAUCAACAUAAUCAGCAUAUGUAGAGAUACUAAAAUGCACACGAACAGUACGUGUUACCUUAACCUUGCCGCUGUUGUUGAACCAUUGGAUGUAGUAAGGAUGUGGAUGUGGUCUUGUGGUGAGAGAAAGCUUCUCCACCAUCUCCAUGCUAGCCAAGUUGUUGCAGCUCCCUCCGUCUAUUAUGACGCGCACAGAACGUUCCUUCACAACUCCCUUGGUAUGGAACAAAUUGUGCCUCUGAUUUUGCUCAGCUUGUGUGACCUGCACACUCAAAACACGUUGAGCAACUAAACAUUCAUACAUGUCAGCGUCUUCAGGAGCCAUGUAUUGCGUCUCAUGAUCAGAAUCAUCUCCACCAUGUUCUUCACGUGUAAUAAGAGCCAAUGUCUCCUCAUCAUAGUCACUAGCGGACUCAUAUCCACCAUCUGCAGUAGCAAUCAUCACACGCGGAGAUUUGCAUUCCCUCGCAUAAUGACCUCCUCCCUUACAACGACGACAAAUAAUAUCACUUGUGUGCCCUGUUGAUGCCAUGGAAGAAGAAGAACGCUGUGCAGGCCCCGCAGGUGUGCUCUUGGUAGAUAAUGGUGGUUGUGCCUGUUUUCUUGUAUCACGGCUGGAGGUGGCACCGGAUGGAGGUGCUGGUGCAGUUGAAGUAGAAGAUGCACGUGGUGUCCAUGAUGAAGGUCGGCCUGCAGAAAAGUUAGUUCGCCCUAAUGCUUGUCGAUCCUGCACUUCACGUUCAGCUUUACAAGCAAGAUGGAAUAAACGAGUGAUAUUAGUAUACUCCUUAUAGUCUAGAAUGGUCUGAAUCUCUCUAUUUAAUCCACCCAGAAAACGUGCAAGCAUAGCUUCAUUCUCCUCAACAAUACCACAUCUAAUCAUGCCAGUUUGUAAUUCCUGAUAAUAUUCUUCUACAGAAUUUUUUCCUUGUCUUAAACGCUGCAAUUUUUGAAGCAAUUCACGUUGAUAAUAUGGUGGAACCCAACGCGUACGCAUAGCAGUUUCCAAAGCAGCCCAAGUAGUUGGAAUAGGAUAUAAUCUACAAUGUUCAGACCACCAUACACAUGCAAAACUAGUGAAAGCACAAACAGCAGCAACAACUCGUCUCUCCUCAGGAUAUUGUAAACAUGUAAAUCGUUGUUCAGUUUCUAACUCCCAAGUAAGAUAUAUAUCAGGAACAUAUCUACCCUCAAAUGGUGGAAUAUUCAAUUUCAGUUUAGGAAUAUGGACAUCAUCUCGUACCUGAGGUGGUGGUGGUGCAGGCCUACCAUUACGAAUAUAUACCUGAGGUCGACCUGCUGGUGGUGGUGCUGGUGGCUGCUCGUAGAUCUGAUUUUGAUCAACCUCAUCCUCAUAAUCGCCCGCAUACUCAUCAUCCUCCUGGGUACCAGCAACAGCAGUAGCAGGAGCCACAGAAGUAUCAACAGCAGCACCAACAGUUUGGCCAAAUGCAAGAGGAACACGGCUCGCUCGGCGAAGGUCUGCUUCGCGACGUGGAGGUAGUCGUUGUUGUUGUUGUUGGAGAGGUGCGUUAGGUGCAGCGGGUGGUGGUGGUGGAAGACGCGCGAGCAAUUCAUUAAAUCUGUUAUCGAGCUUUGUUUCGAACGUCUUCUCAAGGCCAGUGAUCUUCUCCAUGGCCUCUUCAAAAUUGUUCAGCACAUCUUGCACCUGUUCAGUCAUCAUUUGCUGAAACUUAUCAUGAAGCUCCUUGUUCGAUAAAUUCUCCCAGUCAAUCUCGUCGGCUUGUGAUCCUGGCAUGGUUAGCAGCAAUAGAAACACACAAGAAUAUGAUCCUACAGACUAUGAACAAGUGGUGGUGGUGGGUGUCACAAAUCCGUCAAGCAAAACUCAAAUUCUUACCAGUUCUUACCCAGCAGCAGGCGGUGAUCGGCAACCGUUGUAGUCAAAAACUCUCAAAGCUUGGAUAGAGCGAUUACCAGGGAGAGUCAAACACACGACGUAGAUGUAUGUGGAGCUGGGAAGUGAUGAGGACAUCAAUACAAUUGUUACACCCACAGCCCCUGCUGCUAGACAUACUGGACCAAUUACUAGAGCUCGUGCACGCCAACUAAAUUACCAGGUACUUUCGUUUCUUGGUAAUGAUUCUAAUGUUCAUGAGAAUAUGAUGCUGCCUAAAUUGGAUACAUUUGUUUUGCUUACAAAUGAAGGGUCUAGCUUGGAGAAGGAUGAACAUUGGAGCAAGAACAAGCAUGGAGAUGAUGGCAUGCACAAGGGGAACAAGAACGGAGUUACAAGUGAUGAUUUCAGGACUUUGAAGCCACCAUAAUGGGUGCAUGAAGCCUUGGACGAAAUAUACAAGAUGCCACUUCAUAAAUUUCGUCCCGAGGCUAUUUUAGGUGCUGCGUCACCUUAUUAUUGGGCCAGGCCCAUGUAAUUUCGAAAUACAUAAGUAUGGGCUAUUUUUAGAGUCCGUAUGUGUGGGGAAACAAGAGAUAGGGUUGAUUUCGGACCCCUCCACCAAGGGCCACGAAAUUCCCCCCUCUUCCUCCAUAUAUACAGCCCUUAGGGCAUCGUUUAGACUUUGGGUUUUGUUUAGAUUAAAAGUUCGCCAUAGCUGCAACUUCGCGUACUUCGUUUGUGUUCAACGACCAGACAAAGGCGUCACAGAACCCCACCUUGAUCAAUAAAGCUUUCAUCUUAUAUUCGCAAUAUCCAGAUUGCAAUCUUAGUUUCUUGCUUGUUCUUCGUUUGCUCGCAGGAAACAGACCCUCGUGGUCAGGUUGAUCGUGCUCCGGCGUGGUCAAUAACCUCUCGGAGUUGGUUUAGCGAUUGCUAAGGCGCGACGUCCUCGCACGUUCGUAGUCGGAUCGUCAAAGUCGACUUCCACCAAAGCGAAAUCCACCAUCUCAUCGAAAGACGGGACACCUCCGCCUCUAUCAUGUGCCCUGUUGAUGCUAUGGAAGAAGAAGAACGCUGUGUAGGCCCCGCAGGUGCGCUCUUGGCAGAUAAUGGUGGUUGUGCCUGUUUUCUUGUAUCACGGCUGGAGGUGGCACCUGAUGGAAGUGCUGGUGCAGUUGAAGUAGAAGAUGCACGUGGUGUCCAUGAUGAAGGUCGGCCUGCAGAAAAGUUAGUUCGCCCCAAUGCUUGUCGAUCCUGCACUUCACGUUCAGCUUUACAAGCAAGAUGGAAUAAACGAGUGAUAUUAGUAUACUCCUUAUAGUCUAGAAUGGUCUGAAUCUCUCUAUUUAAUCCACCCAGAAAACGUGCAAGCAUAGCUUCAUUCUCCUCAACAAUACCACAUCUAAUCAUGCCAGUUUGUAAUUCCUGAUAAUAUUCUUCUACAGAAUUUUUUCCUUGUCUUAAACGCUGCAAUUUUUGAAGCAAUUCACAUUGAUAAUAUGGUGGAACCCAACGCGUACGCAUAGCAGUUUUCAAAGCAGCCCAAGUAGUUGGAAUAGGAUAUAAUCUACAAUGUUCAGACCACCAUACACAUGCAAAACUAGUGAAAGCACAAACGGCAGCAGCAACUCGUCUCUCCUCAGGAUAUUGUAAACAUGUAAAUCGUUGUUCAGUUUCUAACUCCCAAGUAAGAUAUAUAUCAGGAACAUAUCUACCCUCAAAUGGUGGAAUAUUCAAUUUCAGUUUAGGAAUAUGGACAUCAUCUCGUACCUGAGGUGGUGGUGCAGGCCUACCAUUACGAAUAUAUACCUGAGGUCGACCUGCUGGUGGUGGUACAGGUGGCUGCACGUAGUGUUGAUUUUGAUCAACCUCAUCCUCAUAAUCUCCCACAUAAUCAUCCUCCUCCGCAUCAGCAGCAGGAGCCACAGAAGUAUCAACAGCAGCACCAACAGUUUGGCCAAACGCGAGAGGAACACGGCUUGCUCGGCGGAGGUCUGCUUCGCGACGUGGAGGUAGUCGUUGUUGUUGUUGUUGGAGAGGUGCGUUAGGUGCAGCGGGUGGUGGUGGUGGAAGACGCGCGAGCAAUUCAUUAAAGUUGUUAUCGAGCUUUGUUUCGAACGUCUUCUCAAGGCCAGUGAUCUUCUCCAUGGCCUCUUCAAAAUUGUUCAGCACAUCUUGCACCUGUUCAGUCAUCAUUUGCUGAAACUUAUCAUGAAGCUCCUUGUUCGAUAAAUUCUCCCAGUCAAUCUCGUCGGCUUGUGAUCCUGGCAUGGUUAGCAGCAAUAGAAACACACAAGAAUAUGAUCCUACAGACUACGAACAAGUGGUGGUGGUGGGUGUCACAAAUCCGUCAAGCAAAUCUCAAAUUCUUACCAGUUCUUACCCAGCAGCAGGCGGUGAUCGGCAACCGUUGUAGUCAAAAACUCUCAAAGCUUGGAUAGAGCGAUUACCAGGGAGAGUCAAACGCACGACGUAGAUGUAUGUGGAGCUGGGAAGGCUUAUAAUAUGGUAGCAAAAAGGGUCAGCAAUAAUGAUAGAGGCAAAGGUGUCCCGUCUUUCGAUGAGAUGAUGGAUUUCGCUUUGGUGGAAGUCGACUUUGACGAUCCGACUACGAACGUGCGAGGACGUCGCGCCUUAGCAAUCGCUAAACCAACUCCGAGAGGUUAUUGACCACGCCGGAGCACGAUCAACCUGACCACGAGGGUCUGUUUCCUGCGAGCAAACGAAGAACAAGCAAGAAACUGAGAUUGCAAUCUGGAUAUUGCGAAUAUAAGAUGAAAGCUUUAUUGAUCAAGGUGGGGUUCUGUGACGCCUUUGUCUGGUCGUUGAACACAAACGAAGUACGCGAAGUUGCAGCUAUGGCGAACUUUUAAUCUAAACAAAACCCAAAGUCUAAACGAUGCCCUAAGGGCUGUAUAUAUGGAGGAAGAGGGGGGAAAUUUCGUGGCCCUUGGUGGAGGGGUCCGAAAUCAACCCUAUCUCUUGUUUCCCCACACAUACGGACUCUAAAAAUAGCCUAUACUUAUGUAUUUCGAAAUUACAUGGGCCUGGCCCAAUAAUAAGGUGACGCAGCACCUAAAAUAGCCUCGGAACGAAAUUUAUGAAGUGGCAUCUUGUAUAUUUCGUCCAAGGCUUCAUGCACCCAUUAUGGUGGCUUCAAAGUCCUGAAAUCAUCACUUGUAACUCCGUUCUUGUUCUUGCUCCAAUGUUCAUCCUUCUCCAAGCUAGGCCCUUCAUUUGUAAGCAAAACAAAUGUAUCCAAUUUAGGCAGCAUCAUAUUCUCAUGAACAUUAGAAUCAUUACCAAGAAACGAAAGUACCUGGUAGUUUAGUUGGCGUGCACGAGCUCUAGUAAUUGGUCCAGUAUGUAUAGCAGCAGGGGCUGUGGGUGUAACAAUUGUAUUGAUGUCCUCAUCAUGGUGCAUUCAAAUUGACAAGGCAUUCAUCAUUCUCAUGUAGAGAUGGAAGAUCAGUACCUUUGUCAUUACCUCUUAUGAUCAACUUAGAUGAUGUAGCCACUCUCGGGGGCGAUGUGUCACAUGGUGGAGGUGAUGUAGUCCUGACAACAACGGAUGUGGUUGUCAUAGUAUGCCUAGUAGUUGAAGGAACAAUCAUAUCAACUCUUGGAAUGUGCACUGUGCGCUUGUUCUCCUCGUGGCCAACACGUCGUUUUAUUUCCUGUUCAGCUUUGCAAGCAAGAUGAAACAAAUGGUCCAUAGGAUAACACUCUUCAUGAAUUAGUAUCUCUUGAAUAUCACGGUUUAAUCCUCCCCAAAAUCUAUCCAUAAAAUCAUCUUCACUUUCUUCUAAAGAGGAAUGCAACAAGGUAGUUUGUAGAUCAUCAUAAUAUUUUGUUACAGUUUCACUACCUUGUUUUAAGUGUUGCAACUUCUUAAUCAUGUCACGAGUAUAAUAAGCAGGGACGAAAGUAUGUCGCAUGGCAAGUUUCAAAUCAUCCCAAGUAGUAGGUAUAUAAUCAGGGUGUAACCGACAAUAUUCACUCCACCAAACCAAAGCAUAACCAGUGAAAGAACCAACCGCAACCUUAACCUUUUUAUGUUCAUCGAAAUUAUGGGAAGCAAAUAUAUUUUUUAUGUCGAACUCCCAUUCUAUAUAUAAAGCAGGUUUAAAACGACCAUUAAAUGGUGGUGUAGAUACAUUAACCUGAUCAUGUGCAUUUGGAUGUUUGUGCACCUCUCGUGACGGUUGUGGUAUUUGCAAAGGUGGUGGCACGUCUCCCGCGAUCGACAAAGCCCAUGAAUUGACUCUGGAUCCUGUCAUGAUUAGUAGAACAAGAAACAAAACCCAAAAAUAUGUUCCUAUAACUACUAGGAUGUGGUGGUAAAACGCUCACAGUAAAGCAAAUAUCAAUGUCUUACAAGUUCUUACCAUGCAGCAGGCGGUGAUCGGCAACCAGCGGUGUCAAGUAACUCCGAAUAUUGAGUAAAGCGAUUGCCAGGGGAGCGUACGUAUACACGGUGUAGAAAUAUGUGGAGCUGGGUUGGCUAUAUAUGGUAGCAAAAGAUUAGCAAUAAUCAAUUCAAAGAUGCAAUGUUGAAUAAACGUUCAACGACGGUACUCUGCUGGUCCUAGGCUAGACCGUACUAGAGACGCGAGCCUAGAACACUAAUGAGGUCACGACGUAGCACAACUAGCAUCAAUGAAGGAUACUAAGUAGCUCUUGACAGUAAGAUAUAAGUGAAGAUCACAACGGCAGUGAAGAUAAUUAUGAAAAACAACUGCCAAGGAGGAUAUACAACAACUCUCUCUCCAACUUUCCUCUUGAAAAGUUUGAGACAAUUUUUUGAUAAAUUCUUUCAAGGAAUGCUACUAACUCAAGCUUUCCAAUGCAAAAAGAAUCACUCAAUUCCGAGUUGAUAUGAGGAGUCAAAGAAUUCUAAAACUAGCCUGAAAAAUUGGAACAAGUUGUGUUCACAAACUUCGGAGGGCAAAAAGACCUAAUUAGAAGCCGAUUUUGAGGUGUCAAAUAUUGAACUAGCUUCUGCAACUAUCUAGAUGCGGCUCGUCGCUAUCUUCAAUUUGAGUACUCAAGGAGCCAAAACUGACUUCGUAUGAGGAAGAUACACCUGUUUUACUGAACAGUGCGCAAAACAGAUUCCAAUCCGAAUUCAGGUACGAGAUUGAUUCUAGAUAGAUCCAAUUUUUUUUCUCUCCUUUUUUUUCUCACGCUUUUAUUUCUUUUUCUUCUCUCUCUUUUUCUUUUUUUUCUUUCCUUUUUUCUCUUUUUUUUCUCUCUCUUUUUUUUUCUCCCUCUUUCCAAGACAAACUAGAUAAGAUGCGGAUUGGAUCAGGCGAAGAUGUGAAUGACCUCAACUAUGAUUAUGACAAUGAACAGUGCGUAGCACAUGGUGGAAAUUAAUAGAUGGGAUGGUGGACGGCGGAAGGGAUAAUGAUGCAGCGGCGGCGUGACUAAUGUGAACAGAACUCGAAACUCUAAAAGAACUAGACACUAAGACCAGCAACUGACACGACGAUGCAACCGAUAAUUCAACUAUGCAAGCAACGAAUAGAAAAUUGCAAAGGCUCAGACUGGCUUGGAUAAAGGAUGAACAGAUCUAACUUUUUUUUUGUGGCUUUUUCUUGGACAAUAGGUAAGAAAAAAAUUUAAUCUAGGAAAAACUGGAAAUUCUCACCGAGCAACCUGAAAACUGAUACCACUUGAUAAAGGCGAGGGUGUCCCGAUCUUUCGAUGAGAUGAUAACUAUUGAUUUGGUGGAGACGACUUUGACGAUCCGACUACAAACGUGCACGACGUUGCGCCUUAGCAAUCGCUAAACCAACUCCGAGAGGUUAUUGACCACGCUGGAGCACGAUCAACCUGACCACGAAGGUCUAUUCCUGCAAGCAAUCGAAGAACAAGCAAGAAUAUGAUAAAGCAAUCUGAAUAUUGCGAAUAUAUAUGAAUUAUUGAUAAUGGUGGGGAUCCGUAAGCGGUCUUGGUCUGGUCGUUGGACACAAACGAAGUACACGAAGUUGCAAUGGCUAACUUUUAACUAAACAAAUCCCAAGGAAAAGCUACUAGAUGGAUCUACUUAUAUAGGAGCAAGGGGUGGCGGCCAAGGAGGUGGGAGGACGUCCCAAGGCAGCCUAAAACUAAAUCUAGGUCAUACAAGGCCAAUGGGCCCAAGUGGAGGUGAUGUAACACCUUUGGACUUGUAGUUUAACUCGGAUUCUGCUGCAGCAUCAGAUUGUUUCGUCCACAACUCAACGCUCCGGACGAAUUUGAAGGUGAUUCCAAUUGGGUUGGAAAGUGCACGAAAUCUAGUUUCCAACAAAAAAAGCAUCACCCAAUUUGGAGUCCGUAUGAAAAACUUGUGUGCAUUUUGAGUCAGGUGUGUCUGUGCAGUCCGAAUCUGAAUCCAAAACGUGAGAGACUUGGACUCUAUCUUCUCUUGGGCCAAAAGUGACGUGAGAGAACUUUUUGGACAGCAGAUAAACAUCUCUUUCUUCCUUAUCUUCAUAUGUGGAUUGUGCAAAUGUCCCAUACACCUGCAAUUAGACAAAACACAAAAGUGUGUGAAGUAUUUUUGUUCUGGAUAACAUAAAUAGAUUAUUGAAUAGUUUGCACUAGAAAUCACCUGACAAAUAUGCAUAUAUGCAAUAUUUUUGGUCAUAUCCAAGGUAGUCAUGUCCUCAUCAGAAGGUCUGUUUCGCGAUGUGGAGGUAGUCGUUGUUGUUGUUGUUGGAGAGGUGCGUUAGAUGCAGCGGGUGGUGGUGGUGGAAGACGCGUGAGCAAGUCAUUAAACUUGUUAUCGAGCUUUGUUUCGAACGUCUUCUCAAGGCCAGUGAUCUUCUCCAUGGCCUCUUCAAAAUUGUUCAGCACAUCUUGCACCUGUUCAGUCAUCAUUUGCUGAAACUUAUCAUGAAGCUCCUUGUUUGAUAAAUUCUCCCAGUCAAUCUCGUCGGCUUGUGAUCCUGGCAUGGUUAGCAGCAAUAGAAACACACAAGAAUAUGAUCCUACAGACUACGAACAAGUGGUGGUGGUGGGUGUCACAAACCCGUCAAGCAAAACUCAAAUUCUUACCAGUUCUUACCCAGCAACAGGCGAUGAUCGGCAACCGUUGUAGUCAAAACUCUCAAAGCUUGGAUAGAGUGAUUACCAGGGAGAGUCAAAGGCACGACGUAGAUGUAUGUGGAGCUGGGAAGGCUUAUAAUUUGGUAGCAAAAAGGGUCAGCAAUAAUCAAUUCAGAGAUGCAAAGUUGAAUAAACGCUCAACGACGGUACUGUGCUGGUCCUAGGCUAGACUGUGCUAGAGACGCGAGCCUAGAGCACCAACAAAAUCACGGCGCGGCACGUAAACAAGGGAGGAGCACACUCUGAAUUUUUUUCUCUUUUUUUUUGCACUUUUUUUCCUCUUUUUUUUUUGCUCCGCAACAAAUUUUUUUCGAAAAAGUCUACAAAUGGUCUAAAAACUGCCUAGCCAGAAUUUUCCAGACUUAGUUUUUUUUUUGAAAUUGGAACUAUUUUUCUUCUGCGGAUGGCUCGGAAGUUGGCGAGUCCUUCUCUGUCACGACUCGGAGUAUCGCGUGAUCUGGAAAUCGAGAACAAUGCAACAAUUACUGGACUCGGACUAGGACUGGUGGCGGAGAUGAAUCUGGUGGAACUCGGACUGGUGGCGAAGAUGAAUCUGGUGGAACACGGACAGGUGGCGGAUAUAUGUUGCAGGUGAACUCGGAUUGGCGUGAUGGCGGCGGAUAUGUGGUGGCGUAUAUGGAUUCGGAUUGACGGUGAAUAUGUGGUGGUGGUAUAUGGCAACAGCGACGAUGAUGAUGCGGUGGUGAUAUAUGGCAGCGGCGACGUGACAACCUGUGAACAGAACUCGAAACUCUAAAAGACUAGACGCUAAGACCAGCAACUGGACAUGACGAUGCAACCGCAAAUUCAACAAAGCAAAUACAGAAAAGAUUAUGCAAGGCUCAGAUUGGUUCGGAUGGGAUGAACUAACCCUAAUUUUUUUUGGCUUUUUCGUGGACUAUAGGUAUGAAGAACAGACUCGAUCUAAACUACGAAAAACUGUAAAAUCUCACCGAGCAACCUGGAAAUCUGAUACCACUUGAUAGAGGCAAAGGUGUCCCGUCUUUCGAUGAGAUGAUGGAUAUCGCUUUGGUGGAAGUCGACUUUGAUGAUCCGACUACGAGCGUGCGAGGACGUCGCGCCUUAGCAAUCGCUAAACCAACUCCGAGAGGUUAUUGACCACGCCGGAGCACGAUCAACCUGACCACGAGGGUCUAUUUCCUGCGAGCAAACGAAGAACAAGCAAGAAACUAAGAUUGCAAUCUGGAUAUUGCGAAUAUAAGAUGAAAGCUUUAUUGAUCAAGGUGGGGUUCUGUGACGCCUUUGUCUGGUCGUUGAACACAAACGAAGUACGCGAAGUUGCAGCUAUGGCGAACUUUUAAUCUAAAC